UGUGAUGUCGGUGAGGAGAUGGAUUCGAGAUAAUAGAUAAGACAAGUGAGUUUGUAAACCGUGAGAGCACCAAUGGUGUAGGCAAACCGUGAGGUAAUCAAUCAGUUUCUUCUCACGUGCUGGUACAUGAGAAAAUGUUUGAUUCCAUGGGAUCAGGUUGUUAGCUUAAGUACCAAAAGUAGAAUGGAAGUUUCUUCGUGUUCUCACAUUGCGCAUGCUGAUGCUUAUUGCUUUAUGCCACUGGACACCUCAGAGAAUCAGAGUAUAAGAGGGAAUACAGAUCUUUUCCCUGGCAACAUGAAGCGACCGCCCCCGUACAGGGUUCGAUCUCUG
Molecule: long non-coding RNA, 333 nt
Filed under: Brachypodium distachyon (stiff brome)
Lineage: Eukaryota; Viridiplantae; Streptophyta; Magnoliopsida; Poales; Poaceae
Description: long non-coding RNA (BDIS_LNC004636)
Source: RNAcentral